GACGAACGCUGGCGGCGUGCUUAACACAUGCAAGUCGAACGAAGUGGCGAAUGGGUGAGUAACGCGUAAUCAACCUGCCCUUCAGAGGGGGACAACAGUUGGAAACGACUGCUAAUACCGCAAACUGAAGGAGGGGAUUGCGUCUGAUUAGCAAGUUGGAGGGGUAACGGCCCACCAAGGCAAUGAUCAGUAGCCGGUCUGAGAGGAGUAACGGCCACAUUGGGACUGAGAAACGGCGCAGACUCCGACGGGAGGCAGCAGUGGGGAAUCUUCCGCAAUGGACGAAAGUCUGACGGAGCAACGCCGCGUGAGUUAUGACGGCCUUCGGGUUGUAAAGCUCUGUUAAUCGGGACGCGGUACCGGAAUAGAAAGCCACGGCUAACUACGUGCCAGCCGCCGCGGUAAUUC
RNAcentral lists this ribosomal RNA (408 nucleotides) under uncultured bacterium. RNAcentral describes it as "partial 16S ribosomal RNA". It matches the Rfam family "Bacterial small subunit ribosomal RNA", at positions 28 to 526 of the family's 1533-position model. The record is from RNAcentral.